UAAGCAAGUAAUUGUGAUUAUAGAUAUAAUUCAAAGGAACAGAUUAAUGGAAAAUUAUAAAAGAACCUCAAAGUGGCAUCCGAUUACAGUGAAUUGAUUCUUGGGAAAUUAGUUCUCCAUAGUCAUUCUUUGCAAGCUCUCAAAUUCGUACAUGAACCGUGAUUUUUCCGUUCAAUUCCCAAUGGUGUACGGCUGCUAGACCUAGGGGAAAACAAAUACCCGUUUUACAACUCAACUGGGUCGACCCAUCCCACUACAAAUGACCCAACAAAAAUACAAAUAAAAUUCUGCAACUUCAACAGACUUUCUGGCCCUGCUACAGUUCGAUUCAGCUCUCGACUUCUG
This 345-nucleotide long non-coding RNA is filed under the name Lathyrus oleraceus (garden pea). RNAcentral's name for it is "Pisum sativum (pea) long non-coding RNA (PSAT_LNC031770)". The record is from RNAcentral. Lineage: Eukaryota; Viridiplantae; Streptophyta; Magnoliopsida; Fabales; Fabaceae.